CAGCAGCCACGGUAACACGUAGGUGGCAAGCGUUGUCCGGAAUUAUUGGGCGUAAAGGGCUCGCAGGCGGUUUCUUAAGUCUGAUGUGAAAGCCCCCGGCUCAACCGGGGAGGGUCAUUGGAAACUGGGAAACUUGAGUGCAGAAGAGGAGAGUGAAAUUCCACGUGUAGCGGUGAAAUGCGUAGAGAUGUGGAGGAACACCAGUGGCGAAGGCGACUCUCUGGUCUGUAACUGACGCUGAGGAGCGAAAGCGUGGGGAGCGAACGGGAUUAGAUACCCCCGUAGUCCCUGUCUCUUAUAC
This 301-nucleotide ribosomal RNA is filed under the name uncultured bacterium. Its description in RNAcentral is "partial 16S ribosomal RNA". It matches the Rfam family "Bacterial small subunit ribosomal RNA", at positions 509 to 807 of the family's 1533-position model. The record is from RNAcentral.